This 241-nucleotide ribosomal RNA is filed under the name uncultured bacterium. RNAcentral's name for it is "partial 16S ribosomal RNA". It matches the Rfam family "Bacterial small subunit ribosomal RNA", at positions 116 to 353 of the family's 1533-position model. The record is from RNAcentral.
CGUGGGUAACCUGCCUUAUAGUGGGGGAUAGCCUUUCGAAAGGAAGAUUAAUACCGCAUAAGAUUGUAGUAUCGCAUGAUAUAGCAAUUAAAGGAGCAAUUCGCUAUAAGAUGGACCCGCGUCGCAUUAGCUAGUUGGUGAGGUAAUGGCUCACCAAGGCGACGAUGCGUAGCCGACCUGAGAGGGCGAUCGGCCACAUUGGGACUGAGACACGGCCCAGACUCCUACGGGAGGCAGCAUG